Long non-coding RNA from Oxyura jamaicensis (ruddy duck), 446 nucleotides. RefSeq lists it as uncharacterized. Lineage: Eukaryota; Metazoa; Chordata; Aves; Anseriformes; Anatidae. The record is from RefSeq and is a predicted model, not a curated record. The transcript has 2 exons.
CUCAAGUGUCCGCGGCCGGCCCGAGGGGGUCACCUUGGCGGCGCCGUCGGGCGGCGGGGCGAUGUCGCCGGGACCCCGCUGUGCUCGCAGGACCCCUCCGGUCCCCCCAUUUCGGAGCCAGCAGCCCUGCCCCGGGCAGAUCAGUCCUUGUUCCAAUAUAUCUCUCACAGUUCCUGAAUUUUGAUCCUCAUUGAAGUGAGCAGCAGUUUGGUUGGUGACACAGCCACUUAUACCUCUUCAAGCUGCAAAAUAUCAGGCUUGAAAACGGCACGGAGUACACUUCUGAGCCUGGCAAUAAAGUGACAGCAUGCCAGAAGCAACCUCGUGACAGCUUCUUACAAACCUACAACCACUGCUAAGAGCUUUCCCCUAGCUCCAUCAGGUGUCAAAAAACCAAAAGCAUAUAUAUAUAUAUAUUUCUGACACUGUAAACUUUAUUAUACCAA